GGUUAAGCGAAUAAGCGUACACGGUGGAUGCCUAGGCAGUCAGAGGCGAUGAAGGACGUGCUAAUCUGCGAUAAGCGCCGGUAAGGUGAUAUGAACCGUUAUAACCGGCGAUUUCCGAAUGGGGAAACCCAGUGUGAUUCGUCACACUAUCAUUACCUGAAUACAUAGGGUAAUGAAGCGAACCGGGAGAACUGAAACAUCUAAGUACCCCGAGGAAAAGAAAUCAAACGAGAUUCCCCCAGUAGCGGCGAGCGAACGGGGAGCAGCCCAGGACCUUAAUCAGCAUCAGUGUUAAGAGAACAGUCUGGAAAGGCUGGCCACAGCAGGUGAUAGCCCUGUAUCUGAAAGCACUGGUGUUGUGAGUCCGAUGAGUAAGGCGGGACACGUGUUAUCCUGUCUGAAUACGGGGGGACCAUCCUCCAAGGCUAAAUACUCCUGACUGACCGAUAGUGAACCAGUACCGUGAGGGAAAGGCGAAAAGAACCCCGGCGAGGGGAGUGAAAAAGAACCUGAAACCGUGUACGUACAAGCAGUGGGAGCACCUUUAUGGUGUGACUGCGUACCUUUUGUAUAAUGGGUCAGCGACUUAUAUUCUGUAGCAAGGUUAACCGAAUAGGGGAGCCGCAGGGAAACCGAGUCUUAACUGGGCGAAUUAGUUGCAGGGUAUAGACCCGAAACCCGGUGAUCUAGCCAUGGGCAGGUUGAAGGUUGGGUAACACUAACUGGAGGACCGAACCGACUAAUGUUGAAAAAUUAGCGGAUGACUUGUGGCUGGGGGUGAAAGGCCAAUCAAACCGGGAGAUAGCUGGUUCUCCCCGAAAGCU
Molecule: ribosomal RNA, 824 nt
Filed under: Morganella morganii subsp. morganii
Lineage: Bacteria; Pseudomonadati; Pseudomonadota; Gammaproteobacteria; Enterobacterales; Morganellaceae
Description: partial 23S ribosomal RNA
Rfam family: Bacterial large subunit ribosomal RNA
Source: RNAcentral